RNAcentral lists this ribosomal RNA (305 nucleotides) under uncultured bacterium. RNAcentral's name for it is "bacterial SSU rRNA". It matches the Rfam family "Bacterial small subunit ribosomal RNA", at positions 337 to 657 of the family's 1533-position model. The record is from RNAcentral.
GCCUACGGGGGGCAGCAGUGGGGGAUAUUGCACAAUGGGGGAAACCCUGAUGCAGCGACGCCGCGUGGGCGAAGAAGUAUUUCGGUAUGUAAAGCCCUAUCAGCAGGGAAGAAGAAAUGACGGUACCUGAGUAAGAAGCACCGGCUAAAUACGUGCCAGCAGCCGCGGUAAUACGUAUGGUGCAAGCGUUAUCCGGAUUUACUGGGUGUAAAGGGCGUGUAGGCGGGAGAGCAAGUCAGACGUGAAAUUCCAGGGCUCAACCCUGGAACUGCGUUUGAAACUGUUCUUCUCGAGUGAUGGAGAGG